RNAcentral lists this RNase P RNA (429 nucleotides) under Deltaproteobacteria bacterium. RNAcentral describes it as "RNase P RNA component class A". It matches the Rfam family "Bacterial RNase P class A". Rfam says of the family: Ribonuclease P (RNase P) is a ubiquitous endoribonuclease, found in archaea, bacteria and eukarya as well as chloroplasts and mitochondria. Its best characterised activity is the generation of mature 5'-ends of tRNAs by cleaving the 5'-leader elements of precursor-tRNAs. The record is from RNAcentral. Lineage: Bacteria; Pseudomonadati; Myxococcota; Myxococcia.
GGAGGUGAUCAGGGGAUCGCCGGCGAACCCAAACCGUUCGCGGGAGGAAAGUCCGGGCUCCAAAGAGCAGGGAGGUCGCUAACGGCGACCCGGGGUGACCCGAGGGAAAGCGCAACAGAAACGACACCGCCGAUGGCCGGUGAUCCGCGCGGCGUUGUGAGAGACGACGCGCGGGGAGGCUCAGGCAAGGUUGAAAUCGUGGGGUAAGAGCCCACGCGCGACAGCCGGGUGACCGGCGGCGGGGCAAGCCCCUCCCGGAGCAAGCUCGAAUAGGCGCGCUGUCGAGGGCGGCUCGUCCGAAGCACUCUUCUGAGUGCCAGCGCGCGGGUCAGAGCGCUCGAGCGCCGCAGCAAUGCGGCGCCUAGACGAAUGAUCCCCACCGCCGCUCGCGCGGCGGGACAGAACCCGCCUUAACGAUCACGUCUGGUU